GACCUCAGAGCAGGCGAGACU
This 21-nucleotide ribosomal RNA is filed under the name Asecodes lucens. RNAcentral's name for it is "partial 28S ribosomal RNA". The record is from RNAcentral. Lineage: Eukaryota; Metazoa; Arthropoda; Insecta; Hymenoptera; Eulophidae.